MicroRNA precursor from Pan troglodytes (chimpanzee), 85 nucleotides. It matches the Rfam family "mir-571 microRNA precursor family". Lineage: Eukaryota; Metazoa; Chordata; Mammalia; Primates; Hominidae. The record is from Rfam.
AGUAAGACCAAGCUCGGUGCCCCAUUUCCUUGUCUGUAGCCAUGUCUGUGGGCCCUUGAGUUGGCCACCUGGGUGAGGGCCUGCU